This 449-nucleotide ribosomal RNA is filed under the name uncultured bacterium. RNAcentral's name for it is "partial 16S ribosomal RNA". It matches the Rfam family "Bacterial small subunit ribosomal RNA", at positions 29 to 523 of the family's 1533-position model. The record is from RNAcentral.
AAUGAACACUGGCGGCAUGCCUAACACAUGCGAGUCGAACGAAGGCUUCGCCCUUAGUGGCGCACGGGUGCGUAACGCGUGGGAAUCUGCCCUCAGGUUCGGAAUAACAGCGAGAAAUUGCUGCUAAUCCCGGAUGAUCUCGCGAGAUCAAAGAUUUAUCGCCUGAGGAUGAGCACGCGUAGGAUUAGCUAGUUGGUGUCAGAAAGGCGCACCAGGGCGACGAUCCGUAGCUGGUCUGAGAGGCUGAUCAGCCACACUGGGACUGAGACACGGACCAGACUCCUACGGGGGGCAGCAGUGGGGAAUAUUGGACAAUGGGCGAAAGCCUGAUCCAGCAACGCCGCGUGAGUGAUGAAGGCCUUAGGGUUGUAAAGCUCUUUUACCCGGGAUGAUAAUGACAGUACCGGGAGAAUAAGCUCCGGCUAACUCCGUGCCAGCAGCCGCGGUAA